RNAcentral lists this transfer RNA (74 nucleotides) under Megalodesulfovibrio gigas DSM 1382 = ATCC 19364. RNAcentral describes it as "Desulfovibrio gigas DSM 1382 = ATCC 19364 tRNA". It matches the Rfam family "tRNA". From Rfam's summary of the family: Transfer RNA (tRNA) molecules are approximately 80 nucleotides in length. Their secondary structure includes four short double-helical elements and three loops (D, anti-codon, and T loops). Lineage: Bacteria; Pseudomonadati; Thermodesulfobacteriota; Desulfovibrionia; Desulfovibrionales; Desulfovibrionaceae. The record is from Rfam by way of RNAcentral.
CGCGGGGUGGAGCAGCUCGGUAGCUCGUCGGGCUCAUAACCCGAAGGUCAUCGGUUCAAAUCCGGUCCCCGCUA